CCUUAAGGUAGCCAAAUGCCUCGUCAUUUUGAUUAGUGACGCGCAUGAAUGGAUCAACGAGAUUCCCACUGUCCCUACCCACCCUGCAGCGAACCCACAGCAUCGGGAACGGACGAUGCUAUAGUCAGAGGGGAAAGAAGACCCCUGUUGAGUUUGACUCUACCUUGAUGGAGCCGAAUGUCUUUGGGAGUGUAGAGUAAGUGGGAGAGUAAUCAAUCUUGAAACACCACUAUCUCGAACGAUAUUCGGCUAAGGAAAUUAAAAGGGAGUAAGUAGCAAUACUUACCUUCUAGAUUAUUAGUUUCCCUUAUUUCCUACCCCCCAUCAGGCGGGGAGUUUGGCUGGGGCGGCACGCCUGCUAUACCACAACGCAGGUGUCCUAAGGGGAGCUCCGAUGGAACAGAAAUCCCUCUUCGAACAAAAGGGUAUAAGCUCCCUUUCAUUAACUCGUGCAUUCUCCGAGUUAUUACCGCGAAAGCGUGGCCUAUCGAUCCUUUGAUGAGGAACCUAUCCUCCCAGAGGUGUCAGAAAAAUUACCACAGG
RNAcentral lists this ribosomal RNA (543 nucleotides) under uncultured eukaryote. RNAcentral's name for it is "eukaryotic LSU rRNA". It matches the Rfam family "Eukaryotic large subunit ribosomal RNA", at positions 2272 to 2824 of the family's 3401-position model. The record is from RNAcentral.